Molecule: ribosomal RNA, 448 nt
Filed under: bacterium FC3002
Lineage: Bacteria
Description: bacterial SSU rRNA
Rfam family: Bacterial small subunit ribosomal RNA
Source: RNAcentral
GAUGAACGCUGGCGGGGUGCUUAACCCAUGCAAGUUGAACGAAGCAACUUAUUACGAUCCCUUUGGGGUGACGAUUUGUUGACUGAGUGGCGGACGGGUGAGUAACGCGUGGGUAACCUUCCUUGUACAGGGGGAUAACAGUUGGAAACGACUGCUAAUUCCGCAUAAGCGCACAGCAUUGCAUGAUGCAGUGUGAAAAGUUUUUUCGGUAUAAGAUGGACCCGCGUCUGAUUAGCUAGUUGGUGAGGUAACGGCCCACCAAGGCGACGAUCAGUAGCCGACCUGAGAGGGUGACCGGCCACAUUGGGACUGAGACACGGCCCAAACUCCUACGGGAGGCAGCAGUGGGGAAUAUUGCACAAUGGGCGAAAGCCUGAUGCAGCGACGCCGCGUGAGCGAAGAAGUAUUUCGGUAUGUAAAGCUCUAUCAGCAGGGAAGAUAAUGACGU